AGAUACUAAGUCAAAAGGUAUAGGCAUAGGGUUCAUGCCCCUAAAAAAGCAGGUUCAAGUCCUCGCAGUAUCUA
RNAcentral lists this transfer RNA (74 nucleotides) under Chlamydomonas priscui. RNAcentral describes it as "Chlamydomonas sp. UWO 241 tRNA-Met". It matches the Rfam family "tRNA". Rfam says of the family: Transfer RNA (tRNA) molecules are approximately 80 nucleotides in length. Their secondary structure includes four short double-helical elements and three loops (D, anti-codon, and T loops). Lineage: Eukaryota; Viridiplantae; Chlorophyta; Chlorophyceae; Chlamydomonadales; Chlamydomonadaceae. The record is from RNAcentral.